RNAcentral lists this ribosomal RNA (497 nucleotides) under uncultured bacterium. RNAcentral's name for it is "bacterial SSU rRNA". It matches the Rfam family "Bacterial small subunit ribosomal RNA", at positions 28 to 515 of the family's 1533-position model. The record is from RNAcentral.
GACGAACGCUGGCGGCGUGGAUUAGGCAUGCAAGUCGAACGGUAGGAUACCUUCGGGUAUCUGAGAGUGGCGAACGGGUGAGUAACACGUAGGUGAUCUACCCUCAAGAUUGGGACAACCCAGGGAAACUUGGGCUAAUACCGGAUGAAAGCAGCAGUGAUGUUGUUUGAAAGGUGGCGUAAGCUGCCGUUUGGGGAUGAGCCUGCGCUCUAUUAGUUAGUUGGCGGGGUAAAGGCCCACCAAGGCGAUGAUAGAUAGGCGGCCUUAACGGGUGGUCGCCCACACUGGGAUUGAGAUACGGCCCAGACUCCUACGGGAGGCAGCAGUCGAGAAUAGUCUACAAUGGCCGAAAGGCUGGAUAGUGCGACGCCGCGUGAACGAAGAAGCCCUUCGGGGUGUAAAGUUCUUUUAUAUGUGAGCAGUGCUUUCUAUGUGAACAGCAUGGGGAGAGAGAUAUUAGCAUAUGAAUAAGCAACGGCUAACUCCGUGCCAGCACG